UCGGGAGGCUCAGGCAGGAGAAUUACUUGAACCCAGGAGAUGGAGGUUGCAGUGAGCUGAGAUUGCACCAUUUUGAGACAGAGUCUUGCUCUUUCACCCAGGCUGGAGUACAGUGGUGCGAUCUCAGCUCACUGCAACCUCUGCUUCCAGGGUUCAAGCGAUUCUCCUGCUUCAGCCUCCUGAGUAGCUGGGACUACAGGUGCACGCCACCACGCCUGGCUAAUUUUUGUAUUUUUAGUAGAGAUGGGGUUUCACCAUGUUGUCCAGGAUGGUCUCCAUCUCUGGACCUCCUGAUCCGCCUGCCUCAGCCUCCCAAAUUGCUGGGAUUACAGGCGUGAGACACUGCACCUGGCCACAUCGUACAUUUUGUUGGAGAACAUCCUCGAGUAACUUCUUAAGAAAGUCAAGCCGUCUGGAGCUGUGACAGCCAUCUUGUGACCAUGUGGGGAUGAGCACGAGGAAGAAGACAACAUGUGAAGGAAGAAAGUCAGAAAGAGCCCAAUUUCUUGAUGGCAUCAUUGAGCAGCUGAACCCAUGCCA
RNAcentral lists this long non-coding RNA (540 nucleotides) under Homo sapiens (human). RNAcentral's name for it is "non-protein coding lnc-SMC1A-2:2". The record is from RNAcentral. Lineage: Eukaryota; Metazoa; Chordata; Mammalia; Primates; Hominidae.